Molecule: ribosomal RNA, 563 nt
Filed under: uncultured fungus
Lineage: Eukaryota; Fungi
Description: eukaryotic LSU rRNA
Rfam family: 5.8S ribosomal RNA (bases 188-341)
Source: RNAcentral
UGACCUGCGGAAGGAUCAUUAUUGAAUUUUGAAAAGAGGUUGUAGCUGAUCAUAAUAGAUAUGUGCACGCCUCGUUCCAAAUAUUACACCAUGUGCACUUUUGUAGGCCAAGAAAUUGGUCUAUGUUCUUAAUACACUCCAAAAGUAUAGAAUGUUAUUAUAAAUAAGCUUUUGCUUAAAUUAAUACAACUUUCAACAACGGAUCUCUUGGCUCUCGCAUCGAUGAAGAACGCAGCGAAAUGCGAUAAGUAAUGUGAAUUGCAGAAUUCAGUGAAUCAUCGAAUCUUUGAACGCACCUUGCGCUCCUUGGUAUUCCGAGGAGCAUGCCUGUUUGAGUGUCAUUAAAUUAUCAAUCCUCUUCAAGUUGAGAGGCUUUGGACUUUGGAGUUGCUGGCUUGAAAAAAAGUUUGCUUCUCUUAAAUGUAUUAGCUUGUAUCUUUUGCAGAUAAGCUUUAGUUUGAUAAAAAUAUCUACUAUUUAGCUGUGAAGCAAAUACGAGCUUCCAAUUUGUUCUUUGGACACUUUGACUUUUGACCUCGAAUCGGGUAGGACUACCCGCUGAU